GCGUUCGUAGCUCAUCUGGAUAGAGCGACGGACUUCGAAUCCGUAGGUAGCAGGUUCGAGUCCUGCCGGACGCA
RNAcentral lists this transfer RNA (74 nucleotides) under Spirochaetaceae bacterium. RNAcentral's name for it is "tRNA-Arg". It matches the Rfam family "tRNA". Rfam says of the family: Transfer RNA (tRNA) molecules are approximately 80 nucleotides in length. The record is from RNAcentral. Lineage: Bacteria; Pseudomonadati; Spirochaetota; Spirochaetia; Spirochaetales; Spirochaetaceae.